AGCAGCCGCGGUAAUUCCAGCUCCAAUAGCGUAUAUUAAAGUUGUUGCAGUUAAAAAGCUCGUAGUUGAAUUUCGGGGUUAGUAGGUUGGUCAUGCCUCUGGUAUGUACUGGUCUCACUGAUUCCUCCUUCCUGAUGAGCCGUAAUGCCAUUAAUUUGGUGUUGCGGGGAAUUUGGACUGUUACUUUGAAAAAUUAGAGUGUUUAAAGCAAGCUAACGCUUGAAUACAUUAGCAUGGAAUAAUGAAAUAGGACGUUUGAUUCUAUUUUGUUGGUUUCUAGGAUCGACGUAAUGAUUAAUAGGGAUAGUUGGGGGCAUUAGUAUUCAAUUGUCAGAGGUGAAAUUCUUGGAUUUAUUGAAGACUAACUACUGCGAAAGCAUUUGCCAAGGAUGUUCUCAUUAAUCAAGAACGAAAGUUAGGGGGAUCGAAGACGAUCAGAUACCGUCGUAGUCUUAACCAUAAACUAAUGCCGAUUAGGGAUCGGAUGAUGUUAAUUUUAAUG
This 502-nucleotide ribosomal RNA is filed under the name uncultured Glomus. Its description in RNAcentral is "SSU rRNA". It matches the Rfam family "Eukaryotic small subunit ribosomal RNA", at positions 569 to 1074 of the family's 1831-position model. Lineage: Eukaryota; Fungi; Glomeromycota; Glomeromycetes; Glomerales; Glomeraceae. The record is from RNAcentral.